Molecule: non-coding RNA, 115 nt
Organism: Triticum aestivum (bread wheat)
Lineage: Eukaryota; Viridiplantae; Streptophyta; Magnoliopsida; Poales; Poaceae
Source: Rfam
AAAGUACUCCCUCCGUUGCAAAUUACUUGUCUUGGAUUUGUCUAGAAAAUGAGUCUAGAUACAUCCGUAUUUAGACAAAUCCAAAACAAGUAAUUCGAAACGGAGGGAGUACAAU